This 625-nucleotide non-coding RNA is filed under the name Ixodes scapularis (black-legged tick). Its description in RNAcentral is "Eukaryotic large subunit ribosomal RNA". It matches the Rfam family "Eukaryotic large subunit ribosomal RNA", at positions 1787 to 2312 of the family's 3401-position model. The record is from Rfam by way of RNAcentral. Lineage: Eukaryota; Metazoa; Arthropoda; Arachnida; Ixodida; Ixodidae.
GUGCGCUCGCGUCGGCCCUUGAAAAUCCGAGUGAGAGAGUGUGAUUUUCGUGCCGGACCGUACCACAUCCGCAGCAGGUCUCAAGGUGAACAGCCUCUAGUCGAUGGACCAAUGUAGGUAAGGGAAGUCGGCAAAACGGAUCCGUAACCUUGGGAUAAGGAUUGGCUCUGAGGACUGAGCCGGUCGGGCUGGGGACCUGAAGCAGGAACGGCACUGCACCGGGACUGGGCGGGGCUCGCCGUUCACGCGGCGCGGCCAAGCCCGGACCAGCGUCGGGACCUUCCUGUGGAAAGCCUCAGCUGCGCGGCGUCUGAGGGCUUCGUGCCCAAAGUGCUAUGCUUCGGCCGGCAAAAAACAGUCAACUCAGAACUGGCACGGACCGGGGGAAUCCGACUGUCUAAUUAAAACAAAGCAUUGCGAUGGCCGCUGGUCGGUGUUGACGCAAUGUGAUUUCUGCCCAGUGCUCUGAAUGUCAACGUGAAGAGAUUCAUCAAAGCGCGGGUAAACGGCGGGAGUAACUAUGACUCUCUUGGAGUAACUAUGACUCUACGUCCCGGACAAAGAGGGCCUGAGGUCCCACCCUCACGUCAUGAAGGUCAAAGCCGAGGAAGAAGGAUUUGGAGGU